This 316-nucleotide long non-coding RNA is filed under the name Elaeis guineensis (African oil palm). Its description in RNAcentral is "long non-coding RNA (EGUI_LNC066247)". Lineage: Eukaryota; Viridiplantae; Streptophyta; Magnoliopsida; Arecales; Arecaceae. The record is from RNAcentral.
UGGGGUUCUCCUAUGGUGUGUAGGGGUGCUGUAUGAUCUUUUUCAUGUAAAUAAAAAAUAAAAAAUUUAAAACUUUAUUUUAGAUCUGAUUUACUGUAUCUUAGAUCUAAAAUUAGAGUUUAGAUGAUUGUAUAAUAGUUUGUAAAAAUAUUUUAUGAAAAUUUUAAACUAUUUUCAAACACCAAAUUCUAACCCAUGUUGGCCCAAAACUUAAUUAUGAAUUAAGUAAUCUAGAUUUGAGAAUUAAAGAUCUAAGGUAUAACUUUCAUAAAUCAUGAGUUUAUGGGUUAGCUCGAGUCAUAUCCAUUUAACUGGA